CCUACGGGAGGCAGCAGUGGGGAAUAUUGCACAAUGGGGGAAACCCUGAUGCAGCAACGCCGCGUGAGUGAAGAAGUAUUUCGGUAUGUAAAGCUCUAUCAGCAGGGAAGAAGAAAGACGGUACCUGACUAAGAAGCCCCGGCUAACUACGUGCCAGCAGCCGCGGUAAUACGUAGGGGGCAAGCGUUAUCCGGAUUUACUGGGUGUAAAGGGAGCGUAGACGGCUGUGCAAGUCUGAAGUGAAAGCCCGUGGCUCAACCGCGGAACUGCUUUGGAAACUGUAUAGCUUGAGUACUGGAGAGGCAGGCGGAAUUCCUAGUGUAGCGGUGAAAUGCGUAGAUAUUAGGAGGAACACCAGUGGCGAAGGCAGCAUGCCGGCUUCCGACUGACGCUGAAGCACGAAAGCGUGGGGAUCGAACAGGAUUAGAUACCCCUGUAGUC
RNAcentral lists this ribosomal RNA (441 nucleotides) under uncultured bacterium. RNAcentral describes it as "partial 16S ribosomal RNA". It matches the Rfam family "Bacterial small subunit ribosomal RNA", at positions 338 to 795 of the family's 1533-position model. The record is from RNAcentral.